Molecule: transfer RNA, 69 nt
Filed under: Ovis aries (sheep)
Lineage: Eukaryota; Metazoa; Chordata; Mammalia; Artiodactyla; Bovidae
Rfam family: tRNA
About the family: Transfer RNA (tRNA) molecules are approximately 80 nucleotides in length. Their secondary structure includes four short double-helical elements and three loops (D, anti-codon, and T loops). Further hydrogen bonds mediate the characteristic L-shaped molecular structure. tRNAs have two regions of fundamental functional importance: the anti-codon, which is responsible for specific mRNA codon recognition, and the 3' end, to which the tRNAs corresponding amino acid is attached (by aminoacyl-tRNA synthetases). tRNAs cope with the degeneracy of the genetic code in two manners: having more than one tRNA (with a specific anti-codon) for a particular amino acid; and 'wobble' base-pairing, i.e. permitting non-standard base-pairing at the 3rd anti-codon position.
Source: Rfam by way of RNAcentral
CCUGGUGGCUCAGAUGGUAAAGCGUCUGCCUGCAAUGUGGGAGACCUGGGUUCAAUCCCCAGGUCAGGA